AGAGUUUGAUCAUGGCUCAGAAUCAACGCUGGCGGCGUGCCUAACACGUGCAAGUCGAACGAGAAAGCGGGGGCAACUCCGUGAGUAAAGUGGCGACCGGGUGAGUAACACGUGACUAACCUACCCUUGAGUGAGGAAUAACCUCGGGAAACCGGGGCUAAUACCGCAUAACAUCGCGAGGUGAAAUUCCUUGUGAUCAAAGGAGCAAUUCGCUGAAGGAGGGGGUCGCGGCUGAUUAGCUAGUUGGUGGGGUAACGGCCCACCAAGGCAAUGAUCAGUAGCCGGCCUGAGAGGGCGCACGGCCACACUGGAACUGAAACACGGUCCAGACUCCUACGGGAGGCAGCAGUGGGGAAUUUUGCGCAAUGGGGGAAACCCUGACGCAGCAACGCCGCGUGGAGGAUGAAGUCCCUUGGGAUGUAAACUCCUUUCGAUCGGGACGAAUAAUGACGGUACCGGAAGAAGAAGCACCGGCUAACUCUGUGCCAGCAGCCGCGGUAAUACAGAGGGUGCAAGCGUUGUUCGGAAUUAUUGGGCGUAAAGGGCGCGUAGGCGGUGCGGUAAGUGUGUUGUGAAAUCUUCGGGCUCAACUCGAAGCCUGCAACGCAGACUGCCGUGCUUGAGUAUGGGAGAGGUGAGUGGAAUUCCCGGUGUAGCGGUAAAAUGCGUAGAUAUCGGGAGGAACACCUGUGGCGAAAGCGGCUCACUGGACCAUAACUGACGCUGAGGCGCGAAAGCUAGGGGAGCAAACAGGAUUAGAUACCCUAGUAGUCC
RNAcentral lists this ribosomal RNA (774 nucleotides) under uncultured bacterium. RNAcentral describes it as "bacterial SSU rRNA". It matches the Rfam family "Bacterial small subunit ribosomal RNA", at positions 8 to 796 of the family's 1533-position model. The record is from RNAcentral.